GUGAACGCUGGCGGUAGGCCUAACACAUGCAAGUCGAACGGCAGCACAGUAAGAGCUUGCUCUUACGGGUGGCGAGUGGCGGACGGGUGAGGAAUACAUCGGAAUCUACUUUUUCGUGGGGGAUAACGUAGGGAAACUUACGCUAAUACCGCAUACGACCUACGGGUGAAAGCAGGGGAUCUUCGGACCUUGCGCGAUUGAAUGAGCCGAUGUCGGAUUAUCUAGUUGGCGGGGUAAAGGCCAACCAAGGCGACGAUCCGUAGCUGGUCUGAGAGGAUGAUCAGCCACACUGGAACUGAGACACGGUCCAGACUCCUACGGGAGGCAGCAGUGGGGAAUAUUGGACAAUGGGCGCAAGCCUGAUCCAGCCAUACCGCGUGGGUGAAGAAGGCCUUCGGGUUGUAAAGCCCUUUUGUUGGGAAAGAAAAGCAGCAGGUUAAUACCCCGCUGUUCUGACGGUACCCAAAGAAUAAGCACCGGCUAACUUCGUG
RNAcentral lists this ribosomal RNA (491 nucleotides) under uncultured bacterium. RNAcentral's name for it is "partial 16S ribosomal RNA". It matches the Rfam family "Bacterial small subunit ribosomal RNA", at positions 29 to 507 of the family's 1533-position model. The record is from RNAcentral.